RNAcentral lists this ribosomal RNA (474 nucleotides) under uncultured bacterium. RNAcentral describes it as "bacterial SSU rRNA". It matches the Rfam family "Bacterial small subunit ribosomal RNA", at positions 772 to 1240 of the family's 1533-position model. The record is from RNAcentral.
ACUCAAUAGAUACCCGGGUAGUCCUAGCUGUAAACGAUGAGCACUGGGUUGAAGGGUCCUCCAUAGCCUUUCAGCCGCAGCGAAAGUGUUAAGUGCUCCGCCUGGGGAGUAUGGUCGCAAGGCUGAAACUCAAAGAAAUUGACGGGGGCUCACACAAGCGGUGGAGGAUGUGGCUUAAUUCGAGGCUACGCGAAGAACCUUAUCCUAGUCUUGACAUGCACGGAUUAACUCCUGGAAACAGGAGCCAGGCCUUCGGUACGAACGUGCACAGGUGCUGCAUGGCUGUCGUCAGCUCGUGCUGUGAAGUGUCGGGUUAAGUCCCUUAACGAGCGAACCCUUGUCGCUAGUUGCCAGCGGGUAAAGCCGGGGUACUCUAGCGAGACCGCCGGCGUUAAGCCGGAGGAAGGUGGGGAGUGACGUCAAGUCCUCAUGGCCUUAUGACUAGGGCUGCACACGUCCUACAAUGGCCUGCAC